Molecule: non-coding RNA, 22 nt
Filed under: Arabidopsis thaliana (thale cress)
Lineage: Eukaryota; Viridiplantae; Streptophyta; Magnoliopsida; Brassicales; Brassicaceae
Source: RNAcentral
UCGAUCCCCGGCAACGGCGCCA